RNAcentral lists this ribosomal RNA (432 nucleotides) under uncultured bacterium. RNAcentral's name for it is "partial 16S ribosomal RNA". It matches the Rfam family "Bacterial small subunit ribosomal RNA", at positions 338 to 795 of the family's 1533-position model. The record is from RNAcentral.
CCUACGGGGGGCAGCAGUGGGGAAUAUUGCACAAUGGGCGAAAGCCUGAUGCAGCGACGCCGCGUGAGGGAUGACGGCCUUCGGGUUGUAAACCUCUUUCAGCAGGGAAGCGGUACCUGCAGAAGAAGCGCCGGCUAACUACGUGCCAGCAGCCGCGGUAAUACGUAGGGCGCAAGCGUUGUCCGGAAUUAUUGGGCGUAAAGAGCUCGUAGGCGGCUUGUCACGUCGGAUGUGAAAGCCCGAGGCUUAACCUCGGGUCUGCAUUCGAUACGGGCUAGCUAGAGUGUGGUAGGGGAGAUCGGAAUUCCUGGUGUAGCGGUGAAAUGCGCAGAUAUCAGGAGGAACACCGGUGGCGAAGGCGGAUCUCUGGGCCAUACUGACGCUGAGGAGCGAAAGCGUGGGGAGCGAACAGGAUUAGAUACCCUUGUAGUC